GACGAACGCUGGCGGCGUGCUUAACACAUGCAAGUCGAACGGAAAGGCCCUGCUUUUGUGGGGUGCUCGAGUGGCGAACGGGUGAGUAACACGUGAGUAACCUGCCCUUGACUUUGGGAUAACUUCAGGAAACUGGGGCUAAUACCGGAUAGGAGCUCCUGCUGCAUGGUGGGGGUUGGAAAGUUUCGGCGGUUGGGGAUGGACUCGCGGCUUAUCAGCUUGUUGGUGGGGUAGUGGCUUACCAAGGCCUUGACGGGUAGCCGGCCUGAGAGGGUGACCGGCCACAUUGGAACUGAGAUACGGCCCAGACUCCUACGGGAGGCAGCAGUGGGGAAUAUUGCACAAUGGGCGGAAGCCUGAUGCAGCAACGCCGCGUGCGGGAUGACGGCCUUCGGGUUGUAAACCGCUUUCGCCUGUGACGAAGCGUGAGUGACGGUAAUGGGUAAAGAAGCACCGGCUAACUACGUG
RNAcentral lists this ribosomal RNA (468 nucleotides) under uncultured bacterium. Its description in RNAcentral is "partial 16S ribosomal RNA". It matches the Rfam family "Bacterial small subunit ribosomal RNA", at positions 28 to 507 of the family's 1533-position model. The record is from RNAcentral.